UACGUAGGGGGCAAGCGUUGUCCGGAAUCAUUGGGCGUAAAGCGCGUGUAGGCGGCUAGGUAAGUCUGCUCUGAAAGCCCGGGGCUCAACCCCGGGAGGCGGGUGGAUACUGUCUAGCUCGAGUCCGGAAGAGGAGUGUGGAAUUCCUGGUGUAGCGGUGAAAUGCGCAGAUAUCAGGAGGAACACCGGUGGUGAAAACGAGUCUCUGGUCCGCUUCUGACGCUCAGGUGCGAAAGCUAGGGGAGCAAACGGG
RNAcentral lists this ribosomal RNA (253 nucleotides) under uncultured bacterium. RNAcentral describes it as "partial 16S ribosomal RNA". It matches the Rfam family "Bacterial small subunit ribosomal RNA", at positions 524 to 776 of the family's 1533-position model. The record is from RNAcentral.